UGGGCGUAAAGCGAGCGCAGACGGUUUAUUAAGUCUGAUGUGAAAGCCCGGAGCUCAACUCCGGAAUGGCAUUGGAAACUGGUUAACUUGAGUGCAGUAGAGGUAAGUGGAACUCCAUGUGUAGCGGUGGAAUGCGUAGAUAUAUGGAAGAACACCAGUGGCGAAGGCGGCUUACUGGACUGCAACUGACGUUGAGGCUCGAAAGUGUGGGUAGCAAACAGGAUUAGAUACCCUGGUAGUCCACACCGUAAACGAUGAACACUAGGUGUUAGGAGGUUUCCGCCUCUUAGUGCCGAAGCUAACGCAUUAAGUGUUCCGCCUGGGGAGUACGACCGCAAGGUUGAAACUCAAAGGAAUUGACGGGGACCCGCACAAGCGGUGGAGCAUGUGGUUUAAUUCGAAGCAACGCGAAGAACCUUACCAGGUCUUGACAUCCUUUGAAGCUUUUAGAGAUAGAAGUGUUCUCUUCGGAGACAAAGUGACAGGUGGUGCAUGGUCGUCGUCAGCUCGUGUCGUGAGAUGUUGGGUUAAGUCCCGCAACGAGCGCAACCCUUAUUGUUAGUUGCCAGCAUUCAGAUGGGCACUCUAGCGAGACUGCCGGUGACAAACCGGAGGAAGGCGGGGACGACGUCAGAUCAUCAUGCCCCUUAUGACCUGGGCUACACACGUGCUACAAUGGCGUAUACAACGAGUUGCCAACCCGCGAGGGUGAGCUAAUCUCUUAAAGUACGUCUCAGUUCGGAUUGUAGUCUGCAACUCGACUACAUGAAGUCGGAAUCGCUAGUAAUCGCGGAUCAGCACGCCGCGGUGAAUACGUUCCCGGGUCUUGUACACACCGCCCGUCACACCAUGGGAGUUUGUAAUGCCCAAAGCCGGUGGCCUAACCUUUUAGGAAGGAGCCGUCUAAGGCAGGACAGAUGACUGGGG
RNAcentral lists this ribosomal RNA (927 nucleotides) under Leuconostoc mesenteroides. Its description in RNAcentral is "bacterial SSU rRNA". It matches the Rfam family "Bacterial small subunit ribosomal RNA", at positions 555 to 1480 of the family's 1533-position model. Lineage: Bacteria; Bacillati; Bacillota; Bacilli; Lactobacillales; Lactobacillaceae. The record is from RNAcentral.